ACACUGAUAGCCUCAUGAAGCAGGUUUUCUCCUGAGAAAACUAAGCCCUGUGGGAGCUCUUGGAGAGGAUUUCACAUGAACAAAGAAAAGAGAUCACGGUGAAGUUCUGAUCUGCACAGAUGUGUCUCCUUGCGAGUCUUGUCGUGAUGUUCCAGCUGCAAUGACGAGUGCCUUUCACCUUCUUUUAUACCACCCCAGAAACCACAGAAACAAUAGAAAUGAUCUCUACAGCACUUUGUGACUAAGACCUUUCCUCUCGUGUCAGUGAAAUGAGACAGCUCCCUGUUUCCAGUGAUAAUAAAUCUUGGAUUCUAAAAUGUUCUGUUCAGCUGUGACUAAGGAAAAGA
Molecule: long non-coding RNA, 347 nt
Organism: Aquila chrysaetos chrysaetos
Lineage: Eukaryota; Metazoa; Chordata; Aves; Accipitriformes; Accipitridae
Exons: 2
Source: RefSeq, a predicted model, not a curated record